UCUUUGAAUUUGUUCUCAGUUUUCAUCUGGUUCCUGUAGGCAGCUUCUUCUAAAACAAUUUUUGAAAUCUGAUAGAUGAUAUAGAUAGCAAUACACUUUCAUAGUACAAAAAUAUCUUGUUAUUAACACAUUUAUAAUAUGUUUACUCUUGAGAUAUAAUUCUUGUGAGUGCUAAAAAUAAAACAAAUGUAUGCUAGUACAUUGAUGACUAAAAAUAUAGAUUAUUCUGUCAUCUUAUCUUCCUUGCAUCCGCUAGACUUUUAGUUGCUUCAUGGUGUUUAGUUGUUUAGUAAAACUUUUCUGUUCUCAAGCUUAUUAACAUGAUCACAUAACAUGUGGACCUUGAUAUGUUGGUUCCUUCACUUAAACACAGUAUGUAGGAAUUCUUAAACCAUAAUAUAUUAGUACUUUGAAUUUAUCACGAUAAUAAGCUUGCUUAAAAAGUAAUGCUGAUCUUUUGAAAAUUUUUGCUUUCUUUUCCUUGGAAAUUUUGUGGUCUUAAUGCUUUCUUUCGAUCUUCUGCACCAUCUCUAAAUUUCUACACAAACUCUAAUCUAAUCCAAUAUUCAUUCAACAACAAAAACAGUAAAAAUGCAAAAUGUUCUUUCAUUUCUCACUUGCAAAACAACCUGCCCUCCUGUGACUGCUUUUUGCGGGCCAUCAAUUGCCUAGGGAUUACCCUUGCCACAGUCUCUUAUUCAAGGGGAAUGAAGAUUCACUCACCAGAAAACUUCAGAAAGAUGCCCACUGCUAGCUUCCCUGUGGCAGCUGUUCCGGGUUAGAAACUCGGAGUUGUGGGAAGUUGAAACAUGGGACCCAUUACAAAAAGCUUCUGAGGACAAAACUCUUUAGGUGCAGGGUUGCUUUUCCGCACAGUGAGUGUACCUAUGAGGCUUUGUAUCUGGAUAAAAGUUUGACUUCUCUUUUCUUUCCA
Musa acuminata AAA Group (dessert banana) is the source of this 934-nucleotide long non-coding RNA. RefSeq lists it as uncharacterized. Lineage: Eukaryota; Viridiplantae; Streptophyta; Magnoliopsida; Zingiberales; Musaceae. The transcript has 2 exons. The record is from RefSeq and is a predicted model, not a curated record.